AUUACGAGAAUACAUUUAGCGUGUUACCUACGUUUUAGAGGCGCGUAGCAAGAGCUUCUCUGAAAGACUGGCAGUAUAGUAGUAGUCAGUGAUAAUAUUGAGCCUUAAUAUGUUCCAGACACUGUCCUAAGUGAUUUACCUUACAUUAUUCCCCUGAAUGUUUAUAAUUCCCAAGUGAAAGAAGGAAAUGAUAUAUUGGAUAGCUAUGAGUGGGGAGGUUUGUACUGGCUGCUUUCCCAUAAAGAAAUUAAGCACGUUCACGAAGGGCACGUAGUUUGUUAGUGUCUGGAACCCAGUUUUCGUGCCUGAAGUUCAAAUGUUCUUGCUACACCACCAUAGAAACUAACGUCACUCAGGAACCAUUUGUCAGGGCAAAGGGUGCCACCAUUUUGCAUUUCCUCCUGCCUUAGGACCAUCCUAAAUCACUCGCAUGGAGUGUUUUGGAAGAACUCUCAAGAGCUUCGUUUGCCUAGAGUCAGAAUUCCUAACCUUGAGUCCUGGUUUUGCCACAAACCCAAGCCGUUUGAUCUUGGGCAACUCCCGAAGAAAGCUGGGUUCAACUUCCUCACUGUCAAACUGGUUGUAGGUCUAGAUAAGUUUCAAGUACUCUUUUUAUGUGCAUGGUCUCUGACAUAGGAAGACUACAUACUGGGCCAGUAACAGGAAGGCACAAAGCUGACUGGAGGUUUAAAAAUUACUUGGUCAAUUUGAUUAAUGAGGAGAAUGAAUCAGAAAAUUUCAAGUUCUCCCGUGGCUAACUGUCGAGUAUCCACUUCAAGAUCAUUCCAUCGGAAAGAGGUCGAAAAUGUACAGUAGGCAUGCACAAAGGAUACCGCCUGGAAAGAAGGUAAAACUGGAAAACAGGAGGGAGGCGGGGCCCAAUUUUGGCUUCUCCUUCCG
RNAcentral lists this long non-coding RNA (900 nucleotides) under Homo sapiens (human). Its description in RNAcentral is "HSALNT0349250". The record is from RNAcentral. Lineage: Eukaryota; Metazoa; Chordata; Mammalia; Primates; Hominidae.